Molecule: ribosomal RNA, 484 nt
Filed under: uncultured bacterium
Lineage: Bacteria
Description: partial 16S ribosomal RNA
Rfam family: Bacterial small subunit ribosomal RNA
Source: RNAcentral
AUUGAACGCUGGCGGCAUGCUUUACACAUGCAAGUCGAACGGCAGCGCGGGCUUCGGCCUGGCGGCGAGUGGCGAACGGGUGAGUAAUACAUCGGAACGUGCCCAGUAGUGGGGGAUAGCUCGGCGAAAGCCGGAUUAAUACCGCAUACGACCUGAGGGGGAAAGCGGGGGAUCUUCGGACCUCGCGCUAUUGGAGCGGCCGAUGGCAGAUUAGCUAGUUGGUGGGGUAAAGGCCUACCAAGGCGACGAUCUGUAGCUGGUCUGAGAGGACGACCAGCCACACUGGGACUGAGACACGGCCCAGACUCCUACGGGAGGCAGCAGUGGGGAAUUUUGGACAAUGGGCGAAAGCCUGAUCCAGCAAUGCCGCGUGUGUGAUGAAGGCCUUCGGGCUGUAAAGCACUUUUGGCGGGAACGAAAAGGACUGUGCCAAUACCACGGUUCGAUGACGGUACCCGCAGAAUAAGCACCGGCUAACUACGUG